UUGUCUCUGAUGUUUGUUGGUCGACCGGCCUUGUGUUUUUGUUCUGGAGCUGAUAAUCCAAUGAAAUAUUUGACGGCGCUACCUUCAUCAUCGCUCAUGUGUCCAUGUUGUGCUCCUUGGAAGAGAGUCAGUUCUGUACCUUUUGUCUUCUUCAUUUCAAUCAUGUGUUGCAAACCCAAACCAUCAUGCUCAGCAGCUAAAUAUGUUAGUUUAUCCAUUGCUGCCCUAAGAGUUCCAUCGCACAAUCAUAUGCAAUUGGAUUUGCAUCACCAAGUUUUACAACCUCUAAAGCAUGUGUAUAAAAAUUUGAAUGUCUGCUGAAAUCUUGUCUCUUUGUAGGUGUGACAAGUGGGUUGGAAGUAUAUCUCUUGCAUCUUUUGUCCACCUUUUGAGGAUAUGCUUUGAUGGAAUUUUGUCUAUACCCAAGAAAUCAAGAACCUGCAAUGCAAUUUUAAAUUGUUGAGUAUAUACGGUUUUUUGAAGCAAGCCUGAACACUGAUCCUACAAUUUUUGUCUCAAUAUGGUGAUUCUGUACCUUAACUGAACGGCAGCAUACAGUCAUGUGCGCUUGAAGUUACCACAUUCACAUGAGAGUUCUUCAUCCUCAGCGACAACAUGCACUAUGUAGUAUGUACAGUACUCUACACUACUUCUCGUAUCUCUCUGGGUGGUACCGGUGUAAGUAAUAUUUCGAACCAUUUUUAACUUCUACCCUGUAUUGUCCUGCUUCAUACAGGACCUCACCAAAAUUCUCAAACAUAGCUCGAGUGUAGAUCCUGCUAGCGUGGAACUCCAGUGGUGUGUUCACCUUGUACAUAAAAAUUUUCUUUGUUAGUUUCU
RNAcentral lists this long non-coding RNA (840 nucleotides) under Triticum aestivum (bread wheat). RNAcentral's name for it is "long non-coding RNA (TAES_LNC013918)". Lineage: Eukaryota; Viridiplantae; Streptophyta; Magnoliopsida; Poales; Poaceae. The record is from RNAcentral.